Molecule: long non-coding RNA, 1358 nt
Organism: Colossoma macropomum (tambaqui)
Lineage: Eukaryota; Metazoa; Chordata; Actinopteri; Characiformes; Serrasalmidae
Exons: 3
Source: RefSeq, a predicted model, not a curated record
UCCUGUGGAAUGACCUGCAGGUAUCAGGAAUGGACAGAUGGCAUACAUAACUAUGAUGACCGUAUACUACUUGGAUUACAUUUCUGUUUAUAUCUAAGAGCCUCUCUUACACAAAUAUUAUUACACAAAUAAACAAAUAUUUGUUUACACAUACUUUACUAUACAUUUUAUACUUACAUUAGGGUUUUUAUUUCUUCUUUCAGACUCACAAUGCCUUAGGCACAGUUUUUGAAGCAAUGGAGCAGUCCUUGGGGAUUCCCCUCCCAAAUCACAAUAAACUUCUUCAGGCAUAUCUGCAUUUUGAAGCCCUUACUACAAGUUUUCUUGUGUAAAAUGUGGUCACCAUCCCCCUGUAGUUAUAAUGAAUCUCCAUAAGAAAGGAGUGUUUAACAUGCCUGGCAAGUACACUUAAGUUCUGACUAUGAUUAUUAGUACUUCAUAUUUCUUUACUGUAUUAUGAAAACAACAUUUAAAAUGCAUGAGUAAAGUUGGUGAUAUUUUAACAGUUAGCAACAUCCAAAACUCCCCCUGUAGCUACUUGGGCAAAGUCGAUGUGAAAGACUUUUGGAAUUCUGUCUCUCUGGAGAUGAUUGCACAUGGCUUUCUGUCUAGUAAGAACUGUUGCAUAAUUUUAGUUGGUGUUGUGUAGGACUUAUUAUAACCGUAUUUUCUCUACAGGUACCACACAGAAUCCAUGUGCUACAAAACCUACAUUCGAAUUUUGGGCUCUCUGAAUUAGUGAACAUACAUGGUAUUCCAAUCUAGUGCUGAACACAGAAUGGGGAAAAAUUCAUCAUCCAAGACAGCCAGCAGAGGGAGCAGAUGUAUCAAUCACAGAAGACCAACUUUUGAACAAAGUCAUGACAUUAAACUUGAUUCCAUUAAGAAGUUAUGUAAGGAGAGUGGCUUGGACAGCUCAGGUUCAAAAAUGGACCUGAAAUUUAAUCGAGACAAAUGUAUGACAAAAUCUUUGAGAAAAUUUGGGGUUCUUCAGGUGGCUGGGCAGUGGUAAUGUACCCCUGUGGAAUUGUCUACUCUGUUUAUUUAAUUUACGAUCAGAGAGUCCAUAAGAUUACAUGGAUAUAUUUCUAUCAUGGAAACACAUGCCCAACGUUGUUAUUUUUUGAUUUUGCAAGAGGACUAGCAACACAUGGGAAUCUUCGAGAACCACAAAGGAUUCCAUUUAGUCCACAUGAAGGGCGACUGCUGGAGCCAAAUAGGACAACAUAAAGCUUGCAAAAGACAAAAAACAGUCUUGAGAUGGCUUCUUGAGAAAAAAAGACUGCCUGAUGCUCAUAGCCAUCCGCUCACUGGAUCUGCAGAACAUUAUUUCUUGUAUGACACUUUGCAUGAGUCAA